Molecule: long non-coding RNA, 1055 nt
Organism: Panicum hallii
Lineage: Eukaryota; Viridiplantae; Streptophyta; Magnoliopsida; Poales; Poaceae
Exons: 2
Source: RefSeq, a predicted model, not a curated record
CAACUGUCAGCUGGGGGCAGCUGGAUCGUAAAUUUCUAACCGAAGAUCAGCAACCCAUCUUGUCCCAACCGUCGAAAGCCAUGGAUGUCGCUGUCGGCCACCAGGCCGCCCUCCCUCCCCCCAUCGCCCACUCCGCAGGGCCCCUCCCUCUCCGAGGCACGAAUGGCUACGAGUACUUCACAAGGGCGGAGCUCCGCGCGCCUUACACUGCUCCGUCUGACGCGGCGGGGCGUCCACCUCUGCGGCGGCCACGCCGGGGAGUGACAAGGCGCUGCCGCCCGCCAGGUGUUCGACGAUGAAAUAUGAUGGUGCCUCUGGAGGAAGUGAUGAAGAGGGUGUCGGUUCAUUCAUCGUAGCUUGCAGGACACCCCAUGCCUCUUUUGCAAGAUCAGGGCGCUCCUUUCUCUCAUACCGACAGCAUUUCAGGGCUAGGCUUGCCAACUCUUCAGCGAACUCAGGAGGCCAGCCCCCUGCUGAGGUGUCAAGUAUUUCAUGCAACACCCCACUGUUCAAGGCUGCCUCCACCUCACUCUGAAGGCCUAGGGGGCUCUUACCAGUUAGCAAACGCAGCAGUACAACUCCAAAGGAGUAGACAUCAUACUGCGCUGUGAGCUCCCCUGAAGUAAUGUACCCUGGAUCCAUGUAUCCUAGUGUGCCUUUUAUUUGAUCCGUUCUGUGGUAAGGGGUGACAGUGGUGUUUGUCAGAUUUAAGGAACGAGAAAUUCCAAAGUCCCCCAGCUUGCCUACAAAGUUAGCAUCAAGGAGGACAUUGUCAGGUUUCAGGUCACCAUGGGCGAUGCUUUUUGGUUUGUUGGAGUGGAGGAAGAUAAGUGCUGUGCAGAUGUCAGCUGCAAUUCUGAUGCGCAUUCUCCAUGGGAGUGGCUCGGUGUGCUGCUUGCAUUGGAGGCGGUCCUCUAGGCUUCCGUUUGGCAAGAAUUCAUAAACCAGCACUUUUGGAUCUUUGCACACUCCUAUAAGAGUGACAAGGUUCGGAUGUCUCAUCCUACAUAGAAUUUCGACCUGUAUUAUUUACAAAAAUCACAGGUUUAGACACA